UGGGGAAUAUUGCACAAUGGCGGAAGCCUGAUGCAGCAACGCCGCGUGAGUGAUGAAGGCCUUCGGGUUGUAAAGCUCUGUCUUUUUGGGACGAUAAUGACGGUACCAAAAGGGAGGAAGCCCAGGCUAACUACGUGCCAGCAGCCGCGGUAAUACGUAGUGGCAAGCGUUGUCCGGAUUUUACUGGGCGUAAAGGAUGCGUAGGCGGAUUUUUUAAGUGAGAUGUGAAAUACCCCGGGCUUAACUUGGGUGCUGCAUUUCAAACUGGGAAUCUAGAGUGCGGGAGAGGAGAAUGGAUUCCUAGUGUAGCGGUGAAAUGCGUAGAGAUUAGGAAGAAACACCAGUGGCGAAGGCGAUUCUCUGGACCGUAACUGCGCUGAGGCAUGAAAAGCGUGGGUAGCAAAACAGGAUUAGAUACCCCUGGUAGU
Molecule: ribosomal RNA, 428 nt
Filed under: uncultured bacterium
Lineage: Bacteria
Description: partial 16S ribosomal RNA
Rfam family: Bacterial small subunit ribosomal RNA
Source: RNAcentral